AAACGCGAAGAACCUUACCAAGGCUUGACAUACACCGGAAACGGCCAGAGAUGGUCGCCCCCUUGUGGUCGGUGUACAGGUGGUGCAUGGUUGUCGUCAGCUCGUGUCGUGAGAUGUUGGGUUAAGUCCCGCAACGAACGCAACCCUCGUCCUAUGUUGCCAGCGCGUUAUGGCGGGGACUCAUAGGAGACUGCCGGGGUCAACUCGGAGGAAGGUGGGGAUGACGUCAAAUCAUCAUGCCCCUUAUGACCUGGGCUACACACGUGCUACAAUGGACGGUACAACGAGUCGCGAAACCGCGAGGUCAAGCUAAUCUCUUAAAGCCGUUCUCAGUUCGGAUUGUAGGCUGCAACUCGCCUACAUGAAGUUGGAAUCGCUAGUAAUCGUGGAUCAGC
This 395-nucleotide ribosomal RNA is filed under the name uncultured bacterium. Its description in RNAcentral is "bacterial SSU rRNA". It matches the Rfam family "Bacterial small subunit ribosomal RNA", at positions 957 to 1353 of the family's 1533-position model. The record is from RNAcentral.